This is a long non-coding RNA of Strigops habroptila (Kakapo), 597 nucleotides long. RefSeq lists it as uncharacterized. The transcript is spliced from 3 exons. The record is from RefSeq and is a predicted model, not a curated record. NCBI's taxonomy places the organism in Eukaryota, Metazoa, Chordata, Aves, Psittaciformes, Psittacidae.
UCUCAAUGGAUACUGAAGCUGGACUGCUGCGCCUUCCAACUCUUGCAAUUUCUGGGAAAAGAGAGGGCAGCUGGGUUUAGAUGAAGAGGACAGAGGAACAGUUAAAAAAGCAAUGUUUAACCUGGAGAAUCUCAAUUGCUGAGAAGAGCAGUGUUAAGGUCAACCCAUUUAGAUGUCCAGAUGUAGACAGGACAUUGCAGACACACGAUUCCAGAAAAUGCAUGCUGCUCUGUGGAGAACCGGGUAAUCAGAGAUCACAGUUUUGUACAUAUCCAGAUGUUUGACAGGUUGGAGGAAAGUCUACAAAUGCUUUGCACAGCUGAGCUACAGAGUCUGAAGAGACUAAGAGUGAAGACACAACUGUUUCAUCUGACUUCUAUUGGCCAACGCAUCCCUCAAAGUGCUGCUGAAUGUACAGCUAAGGACAGCUUUUAUGCUUUGGAGAAGUUUGCUCACUUUUCAUGAGGUGAAAAGUAAGGAUGUUUAUGCUUCAGCUGGAUACCUAUUCUAGAGUUCUCUUGGAUAAAUAUUUUAAGAAUGAUGACAAUAUCCUAGAAAUUUUAUAAUUGCCUUUCAUUUCCCCUUUCUAGUUAUAUA